GACGAACGCUGGCGGCGUGCUUAACACAUGCAAGUCGAGCGGAAAGGCCCUUCGGGGUACUCGAGCGGCGAACGGGUGAGUAACACGUGAGUAAUCUGCCCUUGGCUUUGGGAUAACUACCGGAAACGGUGGCUAAUACCGGAUACGACAACCGUCUGCAUGGGCUGGUUGUGGAAAGUUUUUUCGGCCAGGGAUGUGCUCGCGGCCUAUCAGCUUGUUGGUGGGGUAAUGGCCUACCAAGGCUUCGACGGGUAGCCGGCCUGAGAGGGUGACCGGCCACACUGGGACUGAGACACGGCCCAGACUCCUACGGGAGGCAGCAGUGGGGAAUAUUGGACAAUGGGCGGAAGCCUGAUCCAGCAACGCCGAGUGAGGGAUGACGGCCUUCGGGUUGUAAACCUCUUUCAGUACCGACGAAGCGCCGAUGAUGGUGGUGACGGUAGGUACAGAAGAAGCACCGGCCAACUACGUG
This 472-nucleotide ribosomal RNA is filed under the name uncultured bacterium. Its description in RNAcentral is "partial 16S ribosomal RNA". It matches the Rfam family "Bacterial small subunit ribosomal RNA", at positions 28 to 507 of the family's 1533-position model. The record is from RNAcentral.